GAUGAACGCUGGCGGCGUGCCUAAUACAUGCAAGUCGAGCGAACGGACGAGAAGCUUGCUUCUCUGAUGUUAGCGGCGGACGGGUGAGUAACACGUGGAUAACCUACCUAUAAGACUGGGAUAACUUCGGGAAACCGGAGCUAAUACCGGAUAAUAUUUUGAACCGCAUGGUUCAAAAGUGAAAGACGGUCUUGCUGUCACUUAUAGAUGGAUCCGCGCUGCAUUAGCUAGUUGGUAAGGUAACGGCUUACCAAGGCAACGAUGCAUAGCCGACCUGAGAGGGUGAUCGGCCACACUGGAACUGAGACACGGUCCAGACUCCUACGGGAGGCAGCAGUAGGGAAUCUUCCGCAAUGGGCGAAAGCCUGACGGAGCAACGCCGCGUGAGUGAUGAAGGUCUUCGGAUCGUAAAACUCUGUUAUUAGGGAAGAACAUAUGUGUAAGUAACUGUGCACAUCUUGACGGUACCUAAUCAGAAAGCCACGGCUAACUACGUGCCAGCAGCCGCGGUAAUACGUAGGUGGCAAGCGUUAUCCGGAAUUAUUGGGCGUAAAGCGCGCGUAGGCGGUUUUUUAAGUCUGAUGUGAAAGCCCACGGCUCAACCGUGGAGGGUCAUUGGAAACUGGAAAACUUGAGUGCAGAAGAGGAAAGUGGAAUUCCAUGUGUAGCGGUGAAAUGCGCAGAGAUAUGGAGGAACACCAGUGGCGAAGGCGACUUUCUGGUCUGUAACUGACGCUGAUGUGCGAAAGCGUGGGGAUCAAACAGGAUUAGAUACCC
RNAcentral lists this ribosomal RNA (777 nucleotides) under Staphylococcus aureus. RNAcentral describes it as "bacterial SSU rRNA". It matches the Rfam family "Bacterial small subunit ribosomal RNA", at positions 28 to 787 of the family's 1533-position model. The record is from RNAcentral. Lineage: Bacteria; Bacillati; Bacillota; Bacilli; Caryophanales; Staphylococcaceae.